Gymnothorax javanicus (giant moray) is the source of this 73-nucleotide non-coding RNA. Lineage: Eukaryota; Metazoa; Chordata; Actinopteri; Anguilliformes; Muraenidae. The record is from the annotation of a GenBank genome assembly.
GGCUCGGUGGUGUAGUGGUUAGCGCUGCCACCUCACAGUAAGAAGGUUGUGGGUUUGAAUCCAGCCUGGGGCU